RNAcentral lists this long non-coding RNA (220 nucleotides) under Elaeis guineensis (African oil palm). RNAcentral describes it as "long non-coding RNA (EGUI_LNC062189)". Lineage: Eukaryota; Viridiplantae; Streptophyta; Magnoliopsida; Arecales; Arecaceae. The record is from RNAcentral.
UCUUCUUUUAGUGGGAUGGAAACCAGUUGCUUGGCUGGUUCACCCCUUUCUUCAUUCUCUCUUUGGUCCAAUUUAUCAAUGGACAAAAAGUCUUCAAGUUGAUUAUUUUGUGUGAAAAUCAAAAAGCAGCAUCGGGCAAGUUGUUGAUCUCCAUACAUUUCUCCGGCUCCAUUUCUUGUUGAGAAUCAAACCAGCAGAUGAUAUGUCGAGACUACUGCCC